Molecule: ribosomal RNA, 515 nt
Filed under: uncultured bacterium
Lineage: Bacteria
Description: partial 16S ribosomal RNA
Rfam family: Bacterial small subunit ribosomal RNA
Source: RNAcentral
GAUGAACGCUGGCGGCGUGCCUAAUACAUGCAAGUCGAGCGAAUGGAUUAAGAGCUUGCUCUUAUGAAGUUAGCGGCGGACGGGUGAGUAACACGUGGGUAACCUGCCCAUAAGACUGGGAUAACUCCGGGAAACCGGGGCUAAUACCGGAUAACAUUUUGAACCGCAUGGUUCGAAAUUGAAAGGCGGCUUCGGCUGUCACUUAUGGAUGGACCCGCGUCGCAUUAGCUAGUUGGUGAGGUAACGGCUCACCAAGGCAACGAUGCGUAGCCGACGUGAGAGGGUGAUCGGCCACGCUGUGACUGAGACACGGCCCAGACUCCUACGGGAGGCAGCAGUAGGGAAUCUUCCGCAAUGGACGAAAGUCUGACGGAGCAACGCCGCGUGAGUGAUGAAGGCUUUCGGGUCGUAAAACUCUGUUGUUAGGGAAGAACAAGUGCUAGUUGAAUAAGCUGGCACCUUGACGGUACCUAACCAGAAAGCCACGGCUAACUACGUGCCAGCCGCCGCCGUAA